RNAcentral lists this ribosomal RNA (639 nucleotides) under uncultured Cortinariaceae. RNAcentral's name for it is "eukaryotic LSU rRNA". The stretch from base 239 to 392 matches the Rfam family "5.8S ribosomal RNA". The record is from RNAcentral. Lineage: Eukaryota; Fungi; Basidiomycota; Agaricomycetes; Agaricales; Cortinariaceae.
CUUGGUCAAUUUAGAGGAAGUAAAAAGUCGUAACAAGGUUUCCGUAGGUGAACCUGCGGAAGGAUCAUUAUUGAAAUAAACCUGAUGUGGCUGUUGCUGGCUCUCUAGGGAGCAUGUGCACGCCUUGUCAUCUUUAUAUCUCCACCUGUGCACUCUUUGUAGACCCCUCACAGGGUCUAUGUUGCUUCAUUUACCCCAAUGUAUGUUGAUAGAAUGUCGUGGCAAAUGAAAUCUAUACAACUUUCAGCAACGGAUCUCUUGGCUCUCGCAUCGAUGAAGAACGCAGCGAAAUGCGAUAAGUAAUGUGAAUUGCAGAAUUCAGUGAAUCAUCGAAUCUUUGAACGCACCUUGCGCUCCUUGGUAUUCCGAGGAGCAUGCCUGUUUGAGUGUCAUUAAUAUAUAAUCAACCCCUCUCUUUUGAGUUGUGGCUUGGAUGUGGGGGGUUUGCUGGCCUUUGGUCAGCUCCCCUGAAAUGCAUUAGCAGAACGACCUGUUCAUUCAUUGGUGUGAUAACUAUCUACGCUAUUGAGUGCAAGGGCAGUUCAGCUUCCUAACAGUCCUCGGACAGUUUAUCAUUUUAUGUGACCUCAAAUCAGGUAGGACUACCCGCUGAACUUAAGCAUAUCAAUAAGCGGAGGA